AAAAUAACUGGAAACAUGCUUAGAGGCACCGGAAAGAUUCAGGCGACGUAAGCGACGUGGCUACUGAAGAGGCACUUCCCCUCGAACAAUCGUAAACGACAGUACGACGGGGAGCCAAGCCGCGAAGAGUAAAAGACGACAGAGGGACAUGGCAAAGACAAUCGGACGGACAGUACCCGGCGAUGUUGCGCGGAAGAUUUACACUUGCUGAAAGGGCGGCCACCACGCUUCUGCAA
Molecule: non-coding RNA, 236 nt
Organism: Caenorhabditis elegans
Lineage: Eukaryota; Metazoa; Nematoda; Chromadorea; Rhabditida; Rhabditidae
Source: Ensembl